RNAcentral lists this transfer RNA (71 nucleotides) under Marmota monax (woodchuck). Its description in RNAcentral is "tRNA.Ala". It matches the Rfam family "tRNA". Rfam says of the family: Transfer RNA (tRNA) molecules are approximately 80 nucleotides in length. Their secondary structure includes four short double-helical elements and three loops (D, anti-codon, and T loops). Lineage: Eukaryota; Metazoa; Chordata; Mammalia; Rodentia; Sciuridae. The record is from RNAcentral.
GGGGUUGUGGCUUAGAGGUAGAGCGCUCACCUAGCAAGUGUGAGGUGCUGGGUUUGAUCCUCAACACCACA